GUGGUGGUGGUGUUUUCUUGAAGUGAGUUCUGUGUUUCUUGAUUUUGGAUGGCAAAGAGAGUGAAGGUGGGCUUAUAAUUGACAUGGGGUGUUUUGAGGUUUGGAAAUUGAUGGGAAAAAAAAGGAGAAGAAGGGAUUUUGAGAUUGGGAGAAAGUUUGAGACGAGAAAGACAUUGAUUAGCAAAGAGACUACUCUCCAUGGAGAUGGUUUGCUAAUGGAGAGCAAGGGGUACAGAGGGGACUGAAUUUUUCAAUGGAGAGUUGUUGGCAGCCUGCAAUUUUGAGAGAGACAGAGACAGAGUUUAGGAUAAGAAAUCCC
Molecule: unclassified non-coding RNA, 319 nt
Filed under: Hevea brasiliensis (rubber tree)
Lineage: Eukaryota; Viridiplantae; Streptophyta; Magnoliopsida; Malpighiales; Euphorbiaceae
Source: RNAcentral